Molecule: ribosomal RNA, 246 nt
Filed under: uncultured Lactobacillus sp.
Lineage: Bacteria; Bacillati; Bacillota; Bacilli; Lactobacillales; Lactobacillaceae
Description: partial 16S ribosomal RNA
Rfam family: Bacterial small subunit ribosomal RNA
Source: RNAcentral
CGUGGGUAACCUGCCCAAUAGAUCGGGAUAACACCUGGAAACAGAUGCUAAUACCGGAUAACAACAGAUGAUGCCUAUCAACUGUUUAAAAGAUGGUUCUGCUAUCACUCUUGGAUGGACCUGCGGUGCAUUAGCUAGUUGGUAGGGUAACGGCCUACCAAGGCGAUGAUGCAUAGCCGAGUUGAGAGACUGAUCGGCCACAUUGGGACUGAGACACGGCCCAAACUCCUACGGGAGGCAGCAGUA